RNAcentral lists this ribosomal RNA (198 nucleotides) under Triticum aestivum (bread wheat). Its description in RNAcentral is "partial small subunit ribosomal RNA". Lineage: Eukaryota; Viridiplantae; Streptophyta; Magnoliopsida; Poales; Poaceae. The record is from RNAcentral.
AUGCGGCAGAUCUCGUCGAUGCUGCAGGGCCUGGCCCGUUCCAUGUCUCUGGGAAAGGAUAGGAAGAUGGAGGAGGAGCACCAGGGGACGGUGCUGCGGUCGUCGGGGACACUCUGGGGCGAGGGCUCCGAGACGUUCGCUGCCGCGUGCUGGACGUACAAGCACCAGCACCACCGCUGGCCGUUUCCUCCAUACUGA